Molecule: long non-coding RNA, 1505 nt
Filed under: Malus domestica (apple)
Lineage: Eukaryota; Viridiplantae; Streptophyta; Magnoliopsida; Rosales; Rosaceae
Description: long non-coding RNA (MDOM_LNC000184)
Source: RNAcentral
AAGUAUGUGCUUACAUUCAGGAAAAGCCUAUAAACAUAUGAUGAAGUGAAAGGUAGGCAACGAGUAUGGUCAAUAUGAUAUUCUUCUGAGGCCAUUCUUGAACCCCUACUUGAACUAGCAUGGUGGGAAUGACUUAACUAAGUACAAUGGUGCCAAUAUGAUAUUCUUCUAAGGCAUCAUUUUCUAGAGGCCAAAUUAGAUGGGUAAUUACAAAAGUUGUAAAUGGCUAAAGCGUUAUCCUCUCAUCAUUAUUGUUGCUAGCCAAUAUGAUAUUCUUCUGAGGUGGGCUUGGUAAUGGUGAGUCUCCCAUACCCUACUAAGAGUUUCAUCCAAAACUCUCGAAUUCCAAUGAGGGAUAUGGAAUUUGCCAAAAAUAGUGGGUGGUGCUAUUUGAUUUAAAGACCCGGAUCAAAUGGCUUAAAAUCAAUCAAUUUAUAUUCGUUAUGUAUUUGUUUACCAAUAUAUUUGCAAACGCUAUCCAAAACUUGACAAAGAAAAGCCAAAUGCUUUAGUUUCCAGACUUGGUACAACAAUCCCAAAGAUUGUCUUAAAUGGAUUGUAUAUGUACCUAAGUAGUCUAAUCCUCACAAUCUUCCUAUUGAUAAUGUAUCAUUGGAAGAACAUGUUAGAUAAGUCUAUCAUAAAGAGGACAACACUUUUAAAGUCAUAAUUCUUCAAUUACAAAUCGUUGUAUGAAGAAAUAAGAGUUGCUUUGAACAACCCUUAAGUAACGCAAACAUUAGUGCUUGUUUCUUUGUUACAUGAACAAGGAACUUAAGAAGAAAGCACAAAGGCAUGGACACUUUAUGUGACAUGAUUCUUCACUUACAAAUUGUUGUAUGAAGAAAUGAGAGUUGCCUUGAACAACUCUUGAAAGUUUGUAAUUAUGUUUAGAACAUAAUGGUUGGUUGACAAAAAUAGUCCAUCGACAUGGACUUAUGAUGAUUUUGAAUCAUUGAGUGUUGAAGUGUUAAAACCACUUCUAGAAACGGAAACUAGGCAAGGACUUCACCUUUGUGUCCCUAUCCAAAUGGUUCACUAAGUUUAUUGUAAACUAUAUAGUGAACAAUAACCACACGCUCUCCAAAUCGUUUGAUGUGUAUAACACAAUUGAAAUAAGUUUCAAGAGAGACAGUGGGAGUUUAGGGACCAUGACUAUUGUAGACAAAGGAGAAGUCAAAUGAAGAAAGCGAAAUAACUCCAAGGGAACAAACUUUCUUUAUGAAAGGAUGGACAAUGGAAGGGGUAUUUGCAAGAAAUGUCUUGCAAGUGUCAAGAACACACCUUUUGAAGGUGUUGUAAAUUGUUCUUGAAUAGUUCAAAACAGUUGGUUCUUCUACUUGAAUGCUUGAUUCCGUAUUAAUAACUAUGUUUUACAAUCAUUGUAAAAGUGUGACUAAUAAGAAGUAGAAGAUAUAUGAGAGAAGAAAAAGGUGCUUCACAUUCAGAACGUGAAUAAAAUAAAGAUCUCUGCGAAAGCAGAUAGUACUUACUUCCUCAUAUGA